RNAcentral lists this ribosomal RNA (458 nucleotides) under Granulicatella adiacens. Its description in RNAcentral is "bacterial SSU rRNA". It matches the Rfam family "Bacterial small subunit ribosomal RNA", at positions 28 to 475 of the family's 1533-position model. The record is from RNAcentral. Lineage: Bacteria; Bacillati; Bacillota; Bacilli; Lactobacillales; Carnobacteriaceae.
GACGAACGCUGGCGGCGUGCCUAAUACAUGCAAGUCGAACGAGAGCGACCGGUGCUUGCACUGGUCAAUCUAGUGGCGAACGGGUGAGUAACACGUGGGUAACCUGCCCAUCAGAGGGGGACAACAUCCGGAAACGGAUGCUAAAACCGCAUAGGUCUUCGAGCCGCAUGGCUUGAAGAGGAAAAGAGGCGCAAGCUUCUGCUGAUGGAUGGACCCGCGGUGCAUUAGCUAGUUGGUGAGGUAACGGCUCACCAAGGCCGUGAUGCAUAGCCGACCUGAGAGGGUGAUCGGCCACAUUGGGACUGAGACACGGCCCAAACUCCUACGGGAGGCAGCAGUAGGGAAUCUUCCGCAAUGGACGCAAGUCUGACGGAGCAACGCCGCGUGAGUGAAGAAGGUUUUCGGAUCGUAAAACUCUGUUGUUAGAGAAGAACAAGUGCUAGAGUAACUGUUAGCGC